Molecule: ribosomal RNA, 387 nt
Filed under: uncultured bacterium
Lineage: Bacteria
Description: partial 16S ribosomal RNA
Rfam family: Bacterial small subunit ribosomal RNA
Source: RNAcentral
CCUACGGGAGGCAGCAGUGAGGAAUAUUGGUCAAUGGGCGCGAGCCUGAACCAGCCAAGCAGCGUGAAGGAUGACGGCCCUACGGGUUGUAAACUUCUUUUAUAAAGGAGUAAAGUGAGGCACGUGUGCCUUUAUGAAUGUACUCUAUGAAUAAGGAUCGGCUAACUCCGUGCCAGCAGCCGCGGUAAUACGGAGGAGCCGAGCGUUAUCAGGAUUGAUUGGGUUUAAAGGGAGCGUAGUUGGGUUGUUAAGUCAGUAGUGAAAGUUUGGGGCUCAACCUUGGAAUUGCAAUUUAUACUGGUAGUCUUGAGUACAGUUGAGGUAGGCGGAAUUCGUGGUGUAGCGGUGAAAUGCUUAGAUAUCACGAAGAACUCCGAUUGCGAAGGC